RNAcentral lists this ribosomal RNA (253 nucleotides) under uncultured bacterium. RNAcentral describes it as "partial 16S ribosomal RNA". It matches the Rfam family "Bacterial small subunit ribosomal RNA", at positions 524 to 776 of the family's 1533-position model. The record is from RNAcentral.
GACGGGGGGUGCAAGCGUUGUUCGGAAUCAUUGGGCGUAAAGCGCGUGCAGGUGGCUCUGCAAGUCAGAUGUGAAAGCCCCGGGCUUAACCCGGGAAGUGCAUUUGAAACUGCAAAGCUUGAGUAUGGAAGAGGGUCGUGGAAUUCCAGGUGUAGUGGUGAAAUACGUAGAUAUCUGGAGGAACACCGGUGGCGAAGGCGGCGACCUGGUCCAAUACUGACACUCAUACGCGAAAGCGUGGGGAUCAAACAGG